Molecule: ribosomal RNA, 234 nt
Filed under: uncultured bacterium
Lineage: Bacteria
Description: partial 16S ribosomal RNA
Rfam family: Bacterial small subunit ribosomal RNA
Source: RNAcentral
UAGCGUUGCUCGGAAUUACUGGGCGUAAAGCGCACGCAGGCGGUCUGUCAAGUCGGAUGUGAAAUCCCCGGGCUCAACCUGGGAACUGCAUUCGAAACUGGCAGGCUAGAGUCUUGUAGAGGGGGGUAGAAUUCCAGGUGUAGCGGUGAAAUGCGUAGAGAUCUGGAGGAAUACCGGUGGCGAAGGCGGCCCCCUGGACGAAGACUGACGCUCAGGUGCGAAAGCGUGGGGAGC